UAGAGUCUCAGAGAUAAUCAAAGGAAUUACAAAUACAUUGGAAGUGCAAACUCAUUUUUUUGAACGACGAAGUGCAACCUCUUAUAAAACAGAAAGAAGUGCAUCCUCAUAUACACGUAUACAGUGUCCGCUGGUAGUAGAUUGUGCUUCGGGAUUAUUAAAGAUGAUUGGGCUUCUAACUAAUCCACCUUCUGGGCCUUAAAACGCUGUCUUUAA
This 216-nucleotide long non-coding RNA is filed under the name Brassica rapa (field mustard). RNAcentral's name for it is "long non-coding RNA (BRAP_LNC001769)". The record is from RNAcentral. Lineage: Eukaryota; Viridiplantae; Streptophyta; Magnoliopsida; Brassicales; Brassicaceae.